Molecule: ribosomal RNA, 553 nt
Filed under: uncultured bacterium
Lineage: Bacteria
Description: bacterial SSU rRNA
Rfam family: Bacterial small subunit ribosomal RNA
Source: RNAcentral
AAUAGAUACCCGGGUAGUCCACGCCGUAAACGAUGGAUGCUAGCUGUUAUGCGUAUCGACCCGUGUAGUAGCGAAGCUAACGCGUUAAGCAUCCCGCCUGGGGAGUACGAACGCAAGUUUAAAACUCAAAGGAAUUGACGGGGACCCGCACAAGCGGUGGAGCGUGUUCUUUAAUUCGAGGCUAAGCGAAGAACCUUACCAGGGCUUGACAUCCUUGGAAUUUCUCCGAAAGGAGAGAGUACUUUAUUGGACCAAGUGACAGGUGCUGCAUGGCCGUCGUCAGCUCGUGUCGUGAGAUGUUUGGUUAAGUCCAUUAACGAGCGCAACCCUUAUGAAUAGUUGUAUUUUUCUAUUCAGACUGCCCCGGUAACGGGGAGGAAGGGGGGAUGAUGUCAGGUCAGUAUUGCCCUUACGCCCUGGGCUAGAAACGCGCUACAAUGGCCGGUACAAUGCGCUGCCAACCCGCGAGGGGGAGCAAAUCGCAUCAAAGCCGGUCCCAGUUCGGAUAAGAGGCUGAAACUCGCCUCUUGAAGCCGGAAUCGCUAGUAAUCGU